This 3560-nucleotide long non-coding RNA is filed under the name Sus scrofa (pig). RNAcentral describes it as "lncRNA (ENSSSCG00005045269.1)". Lineage: Eukaryota; Metazoa; Chordata; Mammalia; Artiodactyla; Suidae. The record is from RNAcentral.
CGAGGUAAGAUCGCCGGCCCUGGAGCUCGGUCCUCUGGGCUCUGGGGCACGGACGCCUUUCGGGGAGGUAGCCCGCGGGGAGGGAGCUGAGUGGGAGUCGGAGUCCUUCGGGCCGCAUGAGGCUUGGGGCGCCCGGCGGCCGAGAAGAGCGGAUUCUUAGGUUCGUGGGGUUCGGGGCAGCGAGGGCUCCGCGCGCCGCAACCAUCACUGAGGGCUUGGGAGGUGCGUGGCACCGGCGUCUGCUUGGAUUGGAGACGAGGUUGGGCCGGAAGGAGACAGGCGCUGACUCCUGAGCCCCUUCCAGUCGCCCUCAGGUCCAGGGUGAUCCCCAGGCGAGGCCUAGCCCGGGUGCGCUAAUGUCUGGAGGCCGCGGCCGCGCUUGAGGGGUCGAGGACUGCCGCCGUCCCCUGGGUCCUGACUGUUCUCGGCGCUGACAUCUGCUCAGAACAGCCUACCCGCCCUCUGAAGUCCUGGGUCUGGCCCAGGAAUUAUGGAAUCCGAGCUGAGGCUGUGAGGCCGCGCCCCUUCCGGGAGGGUGGAAUUUUCUUUCUGGAACGGACACACAGCCUCUGGUGCAGUCGGGGUAGAAACUCUCCUAGCCGCAUCCAUCAGGAGCACUCCGCCGCGCAUCUUAUCCGAGACCAGGAGGUGUCAGGAAAACAAUGGAAAAAAAUCAACAUUCUUCGUUUGAAGGCUCAAAAACACCUGAAAGGACUUCUGAAAGGACCUGAGAACCCGGCUGCUGUAGUGGGCAGAGUUAGAAGGGCCUCAGAUCUGUCCAAAAGAUUCCAUUCCCCACAAGAGCAGGGACCAAAUUCUGCAUUUUUCCCAGGCCACUUUCAGUCAGUCCUACACCUCCCCCACCCCCAUCCCCAGCCAGGCAGUGACCUUGGGGUUUGAAGGCCUGGAGUCAAGUGAGUCUCGCUUGCUGCAGGGGUUUCUUUGCCCUGCACGGUGUAUGAUGAGUUUCAAUUAGGCAACAAGUCCUGGGUUCAAAUCCUGUUAGGCCACUGGUCAGCUGUGCAACGUGGCUUCAUUUCUUAAGGGAUUGUGGCAAGGAUUAAAUGAAAGAAAUUUAGUAUGUGCCUGCCAGUAGUGGACCCUUAAUAAAUGUGAACAGAUAUGGGGUUCCUUUCUUUUUGGUUGAACCAAUUCAUACCCCGAUACCCCCAGACUCUGUGCCUCAGGGGCUGAGACUGGGAUGCAGAAGAAUGUUUCACCUGCCUCUCUCCUGAUACCUCUCUGUAUCCCACAGGAGGGAAGGGGAAAUGGGUAUAUUUGCCCCCACAGUGUUCUUUGCUCAUUUUCUAAAGGCUCAGGGGACCCCUGACCCACCUCCCUGAUCCUCUUGACCUCUGUCUUUUGUACUUGCCUCACGAGGGAAGUUGCACCUGGUGUUGGCAAAGCAAGUUGCGCAGUGUGUGGCUAUGAGGCCGGUGGCAGCAGGUAGGCAGGACUGCUGCCCCAUUUCACAUGUGGUGGGGGACUGGCAGCCUCAGCAGCUUUACAUUACUCUCUGCUCUGCAGCACUGUCUCCUAGAGGUCCCACCCAAGCUUGACACCCAUGUUUCUACUCUAGCCUGCCCCCUCUACUCUGCCCCCUUCCCUCCCGGAAAAGCCCCUUGGAUAUCCAAUAGCAUCUCCAACUUCACUUGUUCAGAUGGAGCCCUGGAGCCCCAUCUGCACCACUGCUUCUCCCGCAGAUUCUCUGGCUUGCUAAGUGGCACCCUCCAUCCACCCAGUGCCGAAGGUGUCAUCCCAGAUCCUUCUCUCUCCUUCAUCUCCUGUAUCCACAAAAUACCAGGAAUCCGGCCACCCCUCACCAUCUUCAUGGUUACCAUCCUGGUGUACCCCUCAUGUGUUCCCUGCUGGCCUCACUCGCGGCAUACGGGAAUUCCCAGGCUAGGGGUCCCAUCGGAGCUACAGCUGCUGGCCUGCACCAGAGCCACAGCAACACAGGAUCUGAGCCACCUCUGUGAACUACACCACAGCUCAUGGCAACACCAGAUCCGUAACCCACUGAGUGAGGCCAGGGAUCAAACCUGCAUCCUCAUGGAUGCUAGUUGGGGUUGUUAACUGCUGAGCCAUGAUGGGAACUCCACCACAGAGAUCUUUAACAUAAAUCAAGUCUUCUCCUUUUCCUGCUCAAAACCCUCCAAUGGCUCCCCAUUUCACUCCAAAUAAAACUCAAAGUCCUUUCCUAUAAUGGCCUACAUAAGUGGCCCUUCACAACCUCCUUGACCUUGAUCUCUACCCCUCCCCCUAGCUUUCUACACCUGGACCGCUCUGAUCUACUUUUCUCAUCUUCAAACAUGCCAAGUGUUUUCCCACCUUUGGACUUCUCACUGGCUAUGCCCUCUGCCCAAAGCACUAUCUUGCAGCCAAGAAUGGUUUGGCUCAAUGUCAUCAAUUCAGAAAGGUCUCCCUGACCAUCCCAGUUCAAGCAGCAUACCCUUCUUCAGGGGCUCUGUCUCAUCAUCCACUUCAUUUUUUUCUAUAACCUUUAUUCCUAGCUGGAGUUACAUUUUACUGAUUUGUUAUCUGUCCCACCUCAGUAGAAUGUAAAUUGGAUGAUGGCAGAGAUCUUGUCUGUCUUGUUCCCUGCAGCUCUCCCUUAUGAGAAAGGCAAAUGAGAAAUAAGCAAACAAAGAGGUCUAUCAUGGCAAAUUGUUGUAAGUGGUGUAUAAGCAACCUACAGCAAUUGCUUCUUUGCGGGGAGGUGGGGGGGCACUUCAUUUUAUUUUCGAAUUUUUUUUGGCCACAUCUGUGACAUUUGGAAGUUCCUGGGCCAGGGAUCAAACCCAUGCCACAGCAGUGACCUGAGCCACUGCAGCGACAAUGGCAGAUCCUUAACCCACUGCGCCACAAGGGAACUCCCUGGGGUACUUGAACAUUUCAGGCUUAUAAGGCUGCACUACUGUAUUAUUAAAACAAAUGCCCUGAGCCAUUUUAGGGGUGAGGACAGGCCUGCAAAAGGCUGAUAACUUGCCCUGGGUCACACCCAGGAGUGAAACUCAACCUCAUACCCUAAAAAUAUUUACAUAACAAACUUUAUUGUUCUAGGGCCUGCAGUCAUGCUCUGGAAAGAGCCUGAUUUUGGAUCCUGAGGACCUCAGUGCUUUGCUCUUCUACUAACUAGCAAGCCCCCUUCAUUUUUUGGUAUUUCAUUUUCUUCACAGUUAGAGUGGCAUACAUCCUGUUAUUAUCAUGUCGCCUUCUCUCUCUCCUCUUCCUCCUUUUCCUCCCCUCCCCCCUUCCCCUUCAGUAAACUCCAAAGAUGCAGCAUUUCUAGGUGGAGCCCUCUGGCUGUCAGCACAUUCAGAUGUUCAAACCUAGGACUGAUGGAGUGGGAGCCAGAGGUCUCCCCAGUGGGCCCUAGAUCUUCUGGAUCUGAUUUUUUUUUUGGUCGUCAAUUCAUUUUUAAGCAAAUUCACUGAAGGCCUCUGAGACUCAGGCAGGAUGUUCCCUGGUAGCUCAGUGGGUUAAGGAUCCGGUGUUGUCACUGCUGUGGCUCUGGUCACUGCUGUGGCGUGGGUUCGAUCCCGGGCUUGGGAACUUCU